This 381-nucleotide long non-coding RNA is filed under the name Elaeis guineensis (African oil palm). Its description in RNAcentral is "long non-coding RNA (EGUI_LNC051619)". Lineage: Eukaryota; Viridiplantae; Streptophyta; Magnoliopsida; Arecales; Arecaceae. The record is from RNAcentral.
AGAAGGGUUGUUUUUGUGCACCUCAUGAGAUUAGUUUUUUGGCAUGAGAAAUAUUAGAGAGUGGGCAUACAAAAUCAGAGAGGGGUUAGGCUUUUGUGUGUGAGAAAUUAAGGAAGAAAUCUUCUUCUUGGGCGUGCGAUCUAGGGUGGGUUCUAGGGUUUCGACUCUAGCCUUUUGUGUGAGAUAAAAAAUACAAGAGAGUCUUGUUUCAAUCUCCUUCACCACCACCUCCUCAUAAAGAUUUAUUUUCUGAUCUAGAAGAGUCUGGGUGAUCCAAAGAAAAGAGUGUCAAUCAGCCAUCUAGAGCCUUCGAUGUGAGCUAGCACUCUCAAGAAGGACGAUUCGAUCAGAACUUCGAGUGGAUGACCUAUAGAGGUCGAA